UACGAAGGGGGCUAGCGUUGUUCGGAAUUACUGGGCGUAAAGCGCGCGCAGGCGGUCUUCCAAGUCAGUGGUGAAAUCCUGGAGCUCAACUCCAGAACUGCCUUCGAUACUGGAGAGCUCGAGUCCGGGAGAGGUGAGUGGAACUGCGAGUGUAGAGGUGAAAUUCGUAGAUAUUCGCAAGAACACCAGUGGCGAAGGCGGCACUCUGGGCCGUGACUGACGCUGAGGAGCGAAAGCGUGGGUAGCAAACAGG
Molecule: ribosomal RNA, 253 nt
Filed under: uncultured bacterium
Lineage: Bacteria
Description: partial 16S ribosomal RNA
Rfam family: Bacterial small subunit ribosomal RNA
Source: RNAcentral